AGUGAACGCUGGCGGUAGGCCUAACACAUGCAAGUCGAACGGCAGCACAGUAAGAGCUUGCUCUUACGGGUGGCGAGUGGCGGACGGGUGAGGAAUACAUCGGAAUCUACUUUUUCGUGGAGGAUAACGUAGGGAAACUUACGCUAAUACCGCAUAUGACCUACGGGUGAAAGCAGGGGAUCUUCGGACCUUGCGCGAUUGAAUGAGCCGAUGUCGGAUUAGCUAGUUGGCGGGGUAAAGGCCCACCAAGGCGACGAUCCGUAGCUGGUCUGAGAGGAUGAUCAGCCACACUGGAACUGAGACACGGUCCAGACUCCUACGGGAGGCAGCAGUGGGGAAUAUUGGACAAUGGGCGCAAGCCUGAUCCAGCCAUACCGCGUGGGUGAAGAAGGCCUUCGGGUUGUAAAGCCCUUUUGUUGGGAAAGAAAAGCAGCAGGUUAAUACCCCGCUGUUCUGACGGUACCCAAAGAAUAAGCACCGGCUAACUUCGUG
This 492-nucleotide ribosomal RNA is filed under the name uncultured bacterium. RNAcentral describes it as "partial 16S ribosomal RNA". It matches the Rfam family "Bacterial small subunit ribosomal RNA", at positions 29 to 507 of the family's 1533-position model. The record is from RNAcentral.